CUUUAUUAAUGAAUAAUAAAAAUAUUUUUGCAUUUCUCAUCCAGGGAAUAUAAUGUGCACUUUAAUAAAUUAAUCUCAAAGAAAUAAUAAUGUUAACAUUGUCAAGCUUUAAGGCCGAGUAGUGUAAUAAAUUACUGUUCAAGCAGUAGCAAAGUUGUAUUAAUAGCCAUGAAAGGCAUAUGAAGCUACAUUAUUUAAGUGAACUGGAUGCCCCCCAAAAAACUGCACGUUGCUGCAGGCUAACGGCAAACAGGACAGUUUUAGCUCUGCCAAGAACGAAAGAAAACGUUUCAUAUGCGAGAAAGGCACCCUGAAGCAAUUUGCAGAUUGCAAAAAACGUUGCAUGCUUUGUGAGGUUCAGCUUGCGUAGUCUUUUCCUCGUGUUCAAUUUCUUGCUUUGAAAUUAACAGAACGUUUUGACUGGGCCUUUUUUUUUCAAUAACUAUGACAAGUCUAUUCCAAUAUUAAGCAUCAAACUACCAUCUCACAUUUUUCGGGCUCCUCAAACCCCAAAAACCACAAACCGUGCUUUCAUCACAACAGCUUCUGCACGGGCUGUAGAAUAUUUAAGUGUCACAACAUCGGCAUUUGUUAGGAGAUAAAACUUAUUUAUUAUUAUUACUUAGUAUAUUCUACUACAGAAUAUUCAUUUGCUAUGCGAUGCACUUACUCCCCCUUCAAAACAAAAGGGAAUAUUACUGCAAAUUAACAACAAUAGAGGGCGCCGUUAACAUGUCAAAACACAUUUCUUUAAGACUGCCGUGACGGCGUGACCUUUCAGACGUAAACAUGCAAAAACAAAAAUGAACUGACACGGUUUUGUGCUUAAUUCUCACCCCGAGCAGUUGAAACAGAGUGUAUCCAAAAAAGUAUUUUCCAUAAACCCGCCAGUGAAAAUGGACUAAAGAACAUGCACAUUUUUUAAAAAGCUACUUGCCUAAAUGGUUAAAUGGGGUCAUUAUAGAGGUCACACGUCCUCUCUCGUCUACAUAGAUGAAACGUCGUUGACAUGUCAGCAGCAGAAUUGGACACACGGAUCACAUGACAACAUAAAGAACCGUGCGUGUGCGGUACGUCGUAACCAUGGUUUCCCCCGGGGAUCCGACCCGUUGCCACCCGGCAGCACCGCUCUGCCUCUACGUCGGCUGGGUGGAGGCCAUCAUCACCCCAACAGACUGCCGAUCAUCAUCCGUGCACCAAGUGCACACAAGUAAACACAAGAAGGUCUGGUGCUUUUCUGACAGGGCUCAUUUCAAAUGAGUUCAAAUGUGCUCUCUCGUUGAAGGUUUGGAGUUACUUCAGAGGACUGCCAGGUGUGUGGCUGCUCCCUUAGCAUAGGAAACAUGUUUCAGUAUUUCCUUUUAUCAGCUUCUUUAGCAUAGGAAACAUGUUUCAGUGUUUCCUUUUAUCAGCUUCUUUAGCAUAGGAAACAUGCUUCAAUGCUUCCUUUUAUUAGCUUCUUUAGCAUAGGAAACAUGUUUCAAUGCUUUCUUUUAUUAGCUUCUUUAGCAUAGGAAACAUGUUUCAAUGCUUCCUUUUAUCAGCUUCUUUAGCAUAGGAAACAUGUUUCAAUGCUUCCUUUUAUCAGCUUCUUUAGCAUAGGAAACAUGUUUCAAUCCUUUCUUUUAUUAGCUUCUUUAGCAUAGGAAACAUGUUUCAGGCUUCCUUUUAUCAGCUUCUUUAGCAUAGGAAACAUGUUUCAAUGCUUCCUUUUAUCAGCUUCUUUAGCAUAGGAAACAUGUUUCAGUGUUUCCUUUUAUCAGCUUCUUCAGCAUAGGACAGGUGCUUUAAUUCUUACUUAUAGCUCCUUCCGCAGAGGAAACACUGAACCUAAGAUAAUUCCGACCCACGAUGCCUUGCGGUGGCAACAUUUAAAGUGACGGAGGAGCAUAAACUGAGAUGAUGAAAAUGGUGUAAAUACAAACGGGACGGCACUGAGCUGCAACAUCAAUCAAAAAAUAAUAAGUGCAUUGUGGGUAUUUAUUUGAAAGUUUCGCUUCCUGAUUUGACCGUCUUUUGACCACUCUCUUUCCUCACGAGAUAAAAGGUCAUUUGAAAUUGAUAUUCUUUUUUUUUUUAAAACAGCCUAAAUAACAAAAUGUUUGAUGAUUAAAUCGCUAAUAUUUACGUGAUUUAAUGUUCCAUCUUUAACCCUUAAUGGUCCCGGGUCAAUACGAUGAACUCACACCCGCCGUCCUCGCUGUCUACCUUUUUUAUAUCGUGACCUUGCUGAACUGUGGGUAAUUCCCUUGGAGCGAAGUCUGCAAAAUGUGUGUGUGUGUGUGUGUACCCGUGUGUGCACCUGUGUGUGUAUGUGCGUGUACUUGUGUGUGUAUGUGCGUGUACCUAUGUGUGUGUACCUGUGUGUGUGUGCGUGUACCUGUGUGUGUCUGUGUGUACCUGUGUGUGUAUGUGCGUGUACCUAUGUGUGUGUACCUGUGUGUGUGUGUACUUGUGUGUACCUCUGUGUGUGUGUGUACCUCUGUGCGUGUGUGUACUUGUGUGUGUGCGUGUACUUGUGUGUGUACCUGUGUGUGUGUGUGUACUUGUACUUGUGUGUGUACCUGUGUGUGUGUGUGUACCUGUGUGUGCGUGUACCUGUGUGCGUGUACCUGUGUGUGUGUACCUGUGUGUACCCGUGUGUGUGUGUGUGUGUGUGUUGAGUUUCCAGUGGCUUGUUUGAGAUUCAACUACAUUCUUGAUUUCUGUAACUUGAGACAAUCAUAUAAUAUUUUGAAGGUUUUCCAUCCAAACUGCUUCUUUGGUUUGUUUUUAUGUCUCAUGACAUAAGAGUUUAUGACUCAUAAACGUUGUCGAAAGGAAAGUCACCAUCAGUCCCUGGUUCUAAAAUCGGAUGUCUGGUCUUGUUCUUUGUUUGAUUGAUAUUAAAACAAGAUCAAUAUGAAAAAUCUUUUCUCCAAAUUAUCUUUAGAUAAAGAUCAAAGCAAUUCCUCUCAAAGAAGGUUUCUUUGUAUUUGUGUAAUGUUGCCUAUUCUUUUUAAAAUGCCCAAUUUCAUUAUAUGUUAUUCUAAUUUAAGGUAUAAAACCUCAUGCAAUCUGCAUGACAGGUGGACACACUCACACACACGAGGACAUUUCUGUUGACACGUGUCCCGUACUGUUAGUGUCUCCCCCAGCAGUGGUGUGUACAUGCAGUAUGCAAAGGUGUGUGUGGUCACGCCAGCUGUAUGUGCGGGGUCUGAGGGAGGAAGUCGCCGUUGCCCUUGGGGGGAGGAGCAGACUCCCCCGCAGGGUGUAAGAGGUCCGAGGGGCCGCGGUCGGGUCCCUGGGACAGGAAGUUGAAAUGUUCUCCCUCAGGCUCCAGCUCGCACUUCCUGAUGAAGAGUUCCGUCCCCUCCCAGUCGCUGAGGUCGCCGCGGCCGGCGCCCGCGUGGCUGAGCGCGGCGGGGGGGGCAGAGGCGUGGUUGCUCAAAGGCCGGCUGAGGUUGCGCACGGAGAGGGACUUCCCGCCCCCCCAGUCCGAAGGCGUCUCAUCCGGGCUGGAUGAGAGCAGCAGCAGGGGGUUGUCCUCCAGGCUCAGGUGCCUCCUCCAGACCCCCUCGGACUUCAGGCCGGUCUUCUCCCGCAGCGGCGCCCGUCUAUGGGCGGGGCCCUCCUUGCCGCCCACCCCCUCGUGCUCAGGGUCCAGACCGGAUCCCCCCCUGAAAAAGGGGCCCAGGUCCCCCUGAUCCACCUCCUCGUCCGGGACCGGCUCGGCGGCGCAUCGGAGGUGGGAGGUGUGGUCCGUGGGGGGCAGCCGGAGGGUGAAGCCCCCUGUGGGGGGAGGUGGGGGCGGCAGGUCGGGGAAGUGCGGUCUCUUGGAGGUACAGUUGGGGGCCACCAAGUUUGGGUAAGGGCUGUCGGGGG
Molecule: long non-coding RNA, 3867 nt
Organism: Gasterosteus aculeatus aculeatus (three-spined stickleback)
Lineage: Eukaryota; Metazoa; Chordata; Actinopteri; Perciformes; Gasterosteidae
Source: Ensembl